GCGAGGAUGGUGGAAUAGGCAGACACGCAGGUUUGAGGGACCUGUCGCUCUUAUACAGCGGUGAGGGUUCGAAUCCCUUUCCUCGCA
This 87-nucleotide transfer RNA is filed under the name Pseudoramibacter alactolyticus ATCC 23263. It matches the Rfam family "tRNA". Rfam says of the family: Transfer RNA (tRNA) molecules are approximately 80 nucleotides in length. Their secondary structure includes four short double-helical elements and three loops (D, anti-codon, and T loops). Lineage: Bacteria; Bacillati; Bacillota; Clostridia; Eubacteriales; Eubacteriaceae. The record is from Rfam by way of RNAcentral.